GCGACCGUAGUCUAGUGGUAGGAUACGACCUUGCCAAGGUCGCGACUCGGGUUCGAGCCCCGGCGGUCGCA
This 71-nucleotide transfer RNA is filed under the name Candidatus Iainarchaeum sp. RNAcentral describes it as "tRNA-Gly". It matches the Rfam family "tRNA". Rfam says of the family: Transfer RNA (tRNA) molecules are approximately 80 nucleotides in length. Their secondary structure includes four short double-helical elements and three loops (D, anti-codon, and T loops). Further hydrogen bonds mediate the characteristic L-shaped molecular structure. tRNAs have two regions of fundamental functional importance: the anti-codon, which is responsible for specific mRNA codon recognition, and the 3' end, to which the tRNAs corresponding amino acid is attached (by aminoacyl-tRNA synthetases). tRNAs cope with the degeneracy of the genetic code in two manners: having more than one tRNA (with a specific anti-codon) for a particular amino acid; and 'wobble' base-pairing, i.e. permitting non-standard base-pairing at the 3rd anti-codon position. Lineage: Archaea; Nanobdellati; Candidatus Iainarchaeota; Candidatus Iainarchaeia; Candidatus Iainarchaeales; Candidatus Iainarchaeaceae. The record is from RNAcentral.